UUCCGGUUGAUCCCGCCGGAGGUUGCUGCUUUCAAGGUUCGACUAAGCCAUGCGAGUCGAAUGCCGCAAGGCAUGGCGUACUGCUCAGUAACACGUGGACAACCUACCCUUAGGACUGGGAUAACCCCGGGAAACUGGGAAUAAUCCCCGAUAGUCCUCGAAGGCUGGAACGCAUCGAGGGCGAAAGCUCCGGCGCCUAAGGAUGGGUCUGCGGCCUAUCAGGUAGUAGUGGGUGUAGCGUACCUACUAGCCUACGACGGGUACGGGUUGUGAGAGCAAGAGCCCGGAGAUGGAUUCUGAGACACGAAUCCAGGCCCUACGGGGUGCAGCAGGCGCGAAAACUUUACAAUGCUGGCAACAGCGAUAAGGGAACCUCGAGUGCCAGGUUACAAAUCUGGCUGUCGAGAUGCCUAAAAAGCAUUUCAUAGCAAGGGCCGGGCAAGACCGGUGCCAGCCGCCGCGGUAACACCGGCGGCUCGAGUGGUAACCGUUAUUAUUGGGUCUAAAGGGUCUGUAGCCGGCCGGAUAAGUCUCUUGGGAAAUCUGGCAGCUCAACUGUCAGGCUAUCAGGAGAUACUGUCUGGCUCGAGGCCGGG
This 596-nucleotide ribosomal RNA is filed under the name uncultured archaeon. Its description in RNAcentral is "bacterial SSU rRNA". It matches the Rfam family "Archaeal small subunit ribosomal RNA", at positions 1 to 603 of the family's 1478-position model. The record is from RNAcentral.